AGAGUUUGAUCAUGGCUCAGGACGAACGCUGGCGGCGUGCUAAUACAUGCAAGUCGAGCGAACAGAUGAGGAGCUUGCUCCUCUGAUGUUAGCGGCGGACGGGUGAGUAACACGUAGGCAACCUGCCUCAUAGACUGGGACAACUUCGGGAAACCGGGGCUAAUACCGGAUAAUACUUUUCUUCGCAUGAAGGAAAAUUAAAAGUUGGCGUAAGCUAACACUAUGAGAUGGGCCUGCGGCGCAUUAGCUAGUUGGUAAGGUAACGGCUUACCAAGGCGACGAUGCGUAGCCGACCUGGGAGGGUGAUCGGCCACACUGGGACUGAGACACGGCCCAGACUCCUACGGGAGGCAGCAGUAGGGAAUCUUCCGCAAUGGACGCAAGUCUGACGGAGCAACGCCGCGUGAACGAUGAAGGCCUUCGGGUCGUAAAGUUCUGUUGUUAGGGAAGAACAAGUAUUGUUCGAAUAGGGCAGUACCUUGACGGUACCUAACCAGAAAGCCACGGCUAACUACGUGCCAGCAGCCGCGGUAAUACGUAGGUGGCAAGCGUUGUCCGGAAUUAUUGGGCGUAAAGCGCGCGCAGGCGGUCUUUUAAGUCUGAUGUGAAAGCCCCCGGCUCAACCGGGGAGGGUCAUUGGAAACUGGGAGACUUGAGUGCAGAAGAGGAGAGUGGAAUUCCAUGCGUAGCGGUGAAAUGCGUAGAGAUAUGGAGGAGCACCAGUGGCGAAGGCGACUCUCUGGUCUGCAACUGACGCUGAGGCGCGAAAGCGUGGGGAGCAAACAGGAUUAGAUACCCUGGUAGUCCACGCCGUAAACGAUGAGUGCUAGGUGUUAGGGGGUCCAACCCUUAGUGCCGAAGUAAACACAUUAAGCACUCCGCCUGGGGAGUACGGCCGCAAGGCUGAAACUCAAAUGAAUUGACGG
This 926-nucleotide ribosomal RNA is filed under the name uncultured bacterium. RNAcentral's name for it is "bacterial SSU rRNA". It matches the Rfam family "Bacterial small subunit ribosomal RNA", at positions 8 to 916 of the family's 1533-position model. The record is from RNAcentral.